CGGGUGAGUAAUGCUUGGGAAUCUAGCUUAUGGAGGGGGAUAACUACGGGAAACUGUAGCUAAUACCGCGUAAUAUCGAAAGAUUAAAGUGUGGGACCUUCGGGCCACAUGCCACAGGAUGAGCCCAAGUGGGAUUAGGUAGUUGGUGAGGUAAAGGCUCACCAAGCCGACGAUCUCUAGCUGGUCUGAGAGGAUGACCAGCCACACUGGGACUGAGACACGGCCCAG
Molecule: ribosomal RNA, 228 nt
Filed under: uncultured bacterium
Lineage: Bacteria
Description: partial 16S ribosomal RNA
Rfam family: Bacterial small subunit ribosomal RNA
Source: RNAcentral